This 500-nucleotide ribosomal RNA is filed under the name uncultured bacterium. RNAcentral describes it as "partial 16S ribosomal RNA". It matches the Rfam family "Bacterial small subunit ribosomal RNA", at positions 30 to 523 of the family's 1533-position model. The record is from RNAcentral.
AUUGAACGCUGGCGGAAUGCUUUACACAUGCAAGUCGAACGGCAGCACGGGGGCAACCCUGGUGGCGAGUGGCGAACGGGUGAGUAAUACAUCGGAACGUGCCCAGUCGUGGGGGAUAACGUAGCGAAAGUUACGCUAAUACCGCAUACGAUCUACGGAUGAAAGCGGGGGACCGUAAGGCCUCGCGCGAUUGGAGCGGCCGAUGUCAGAUUAGGUAGUUGAUGAGGUAAGGGCUCACCAAGCCGACGAUCUGUAGCUGGUCUGAGAGGACGACCAGCCACACUGGGACUGAGACACGGCCCAGACUCCUACGGGAGGCAGCAGUGGGGAAUUUUGGACAAUGGGCGCAAGCCUGAUCCAGCCAUUCCGCGUGCAGGACGAAGGCCUUCGGGUUGUAAACUGCUUUUGUACGGAACGAAAAGGCUCUGGUUAAUACCUGGGGCUCAUGACGGUACCGUAAGAAUAAGCACCGGUUAACUACGUGCCAGCCGCCGCCGUAA